GUGCGUGAGGCGACUGGUGGUUUGUCGCGCCGGCUUGUGAUGCCGGUAGUCGCGGGUUCGAUUCCCGUCACGCACC
This 76-nucleotide transfer RNA is filed under the name Yimella lutea. Its description in RNAcentral is "tRNA-His". It matches the Rfam family "tRNA". From Rfam's summary of the family: Transfer RNA (tRNA) molecules are approximately 80 nucleotides in length. The record is from RNAcentral. Lineage: Bacteria; Bacillati; Actinomycetota; Actinomycetes; Micrococcales; Dermacoccaceae.